AAUUGUUGAGAAUUAGUUCUCUUCCCUAAGGAUUAGUUCCCUGUUUCUUGUUGUUCUACAUCACUAAGCUUCUAUUAUGCAGCUAAACUCACAUGCUUCACACAAUGAGAAUGAACAAGAGAAACUUGCCCCAAUAAAAUUGGAUGGUACAGAAACUUGAACAGAACAAAACAACAACUGAAAACCUUGAGCAAAGUAUGAUCUAGCAUAAAUAAUAAAGUGCAUUACGUGGCCAACCCAAAUAUGAUUGGGUCACACUAAAAUCUUCAUUUAUAAGCUCUCAUUCUCCAUGCACAUCCUCAGCUAGCCAUGGAGACAUCCAUAAUGUUAAAGAAUGCUAGCUUCAUUCUUACAACUCUCUGUAUUUUAUGGAUACCUGCAUUGGCCUCAGAAAUCCAUCAUCAGCCAAAAUAUAACUCCAAUGCCAUGAGGAGGAGGUAUAAUAAAUGGAUGGCAAAACAUGGCAUAAAAUACAAGAGCAGAGAAGAAUAUUUAUUGCGGUUUGGAAUAUACAUGUCCAAUGUUCAGUUCAUCGACUACUUUAAUUCUCGGAACUUAUCAUAUAAGCUCACUGAUAACCAAUUCGCAGACAUGGGCAAUGAUGAGUUUAAAUCUAUCUACUUAGGUUAUACUACUGAUGGAAGAAAGAAGCCCAAUCUCAAGUACCUUAAUUACACAGAUUUGCCAACUGCAGUAGAUUGGAGAAAGAAAGGAGCUGUAACCCCAAUUAAGGAUCAAGGCAAAUGUGGUAUCAUUCUUUCUUCUCUUUUUUCUUCAUUUUUUUUUUUUCUUUUCCUGAGAAAUUUAGGGUCUGAGUGCACUUUUUAAGGGAUGAAGGCCAAUGGGGUAUGAGAAAAUUUGAUCACUGCCAGCAUUUUUAUUUACAUCCUAAAUUACAUGUUUUCUGAGAAUCUUGAUGCAGCUUGACAAACAAAUGUGACAAACUAUCAGUCUAUCACAAUAGGGGUUGAGAAAAACAGCCUACUUCUUGGACAAAAUUGUUCUUUAUUUGGGAAAAUUCAUACAAACAAAAUAGAAAGCCUGAUGUAGGUCACAAGGAUUAUUAUAUUCUUUCAAAAAGCUCAUAUUCUGACAAGCUCUUAAGUACCACUAGGACAUCUAAUUGCUAACUCUGAAAUAGUUUUUCCAUAUCGUAUAUAUAAUUAAUAGUUAGGUUAAUUGACUGUACACAUACUUAUAUCUUGUUUUUCCUAAGUUACAUGAGAUGAUCAAAAGUUACUUUCCUGUAAUACAGGAAGUUGUUGGGCAUUCUCUGCAGUGGCAGCUAUAGAAGGCAUUAACAAAAUUAAGACAGGAAAACUAGUAUCUCUAUCAGAACAAGAACUUGUAGACUGUGAUGUUGACAAGGAUAACCAGGGCUGUAGUGGUGGAUACAUGGAAAAAGCAUUUGCAUUCGUCAACAAGAUUGGGGGACUCACCACUGAAAAUAAUUAUCCUUACAAUGGGAAAGAUAACCCCUGUGAAAAAGAAAAAAUCAAAGAUUAUGCAGUGACAAUUAGUGGCUACAAAACAGUACCUGCCAAUAGUGAGAAAAGCCUACAAGCUGCAGUUGGCAAUCAACCUGUAUCUGUUGCAAUUGAUGCAGCUGGUUAUGAAUUUCAACUUUACUCCGGAGGUAUCUUCAGCGGCUUCUGUGGUGUCAUACUCAACCAUGGAGUCACAGCAGUUGGCUAUGGCGAAAUUGGUGAUGAAAAAUACUGGCUUGUGAAAAAUUCAUGGGGCAAAGACUGGGGUGAGGAUGGCUACAUAAGGAUGAAGCGUGAUUCUGGUAAUGAGAAAGGUAUCUGUGGCAUUGCCAUGGAAGCUAGCUACCCCAUCAAGAAUUGAGCAGCCUUUUGGGUGUAGUGGGCUGACCGAUCCUGGUUUUACGAUGGCGUAACUAGGUGCCUUUCAGAUAGUAAUUACAUAGAGAUUGAAGUAAAAGAUGUUCCUGGAGAUUUUAAGUAAAUAAUAUUGACAUUUACAGAAUGCAUGCUAGGGAAAAAUUGUGCCCAAAGCAUAAGAAUAUGGGAAAUAGCAAUCCCUUGUAUCACAGUGAUAUUACAAUAUAAUCACCAGGAGAUCAUAGUUCUUGGUACACAAUUCUUACUUUCUGAUAAUUUCCUCCAUCUUCUAUCCAUUUGGCAAAGCCCAUAAAAGAAUUUCUGGCAUAACAAUCAUGAGUCUUUCAAGCAAAAGGUGCUAAAUCUUAUGGUAGUAGAACGACUGCCACGUACAAAAGCUUAAAGCUUAUUAUAUUUUGUUUGGGUUCUGGAGUGGGAAUGAGACUUCCAAACAUGAAGGUAUACUUAGGGUUUAAAUGUAUCAGAUAUAAAUAAUUCUCAAGAGCUAUUAAUCGCAACAAAUAUUUCAUGGUAUUGCCAUGAUCAGCUUCAAUUGAUUAUUAAAUAGAACAAAACACAAAAAG
RNAcentral lists this unclassified non-coding RNA (2428 nucleotides) under Hevea brasiliensis (rubber tree). The record is from RNAcentral. Lineage: Eukaryota; Viridiplantae; Streptophyta; Magnoliopsida; Malpighiales; Euphorbiaceae.